Molecule: non-coding RNA, 74 nt
Organism: Stegodyphus mimosarum
Lineage: Eukaryota; Metazoa; Arthropoda; Arachnida; Araneae; Eresidae
Source: Rfam
GCCUUCGUGGUGUAGUGGUCUGCAUGCUCGACACGUAACCGAGAGGUCCUUGGUUCGAUUCCCCGGCGAAGGCG